GUACUCUCACACUCUCUACUCCUUUGGAUGUGGGGAGCGGUGGACUUGGGUGUUUGCUGCUUUUCCUUGUGGCUCACCUCAAAUGUGUUAGUGUACCUCCUGGUUGGACAUAGUACGGCGUGAUAAGUGUCUUCGCCGGCACCUCACUAGAGGGUGGUCAAUUCAAGGAGCUCUAUGCUUUCAAACCGUCUUCGGACACUCUCUGACA
RNAcentral lists this unclassified non-coding RNA (208 nucleotides) under uncultured Sebacina. RNAcentral's name for it is "sequence contains ITS2". The record is from RNAcentral. Lineage: Eukaryota; Fungi; Basidiomycota; Agaricomycetes; Sebacinales; Sebacinaceae.